GGGAGGCAGCAGGAAGGAUGAGUCGUUUGCAGUUGCCUUUGAACGGGGGACACUGCCCUCUGCGCCUCACGCUCUGACACUUUCUGUCUUUUACCCUGAAGGCAACGACGGGAAAGGCCAGUGGCCCCGGGGAUGCUGCUGACCACACACGCACUGAGGGUAAGCCCCCAUGGCAGGGGGGACACGCUGGCUCGGGCAGCAGCUCAGCAUUCCUUUACUGGCUGGUCCUCCUCCUGCCCAGCACACUGGGGGCUGGCGGACCAGUGAUGGGAGCUUUCUUUUCUUUUUCUCCCUGCUACCAUUGAAGAAAUGGAAAAGAAGGUGGGAUUUGCGGUCCCCGAGGACCCAGGCUCUGUGUUUGAGAGCGUGGGGAGCAGUGUGCUCUCCUGGCUCUCUCAGGGUCUGGAGAAGGUGAUUCCCCAGCCGGUCCCGGCCCCAGGGACGCUGCAGGCACUCGGGAAGAGCUUCGAGACAAGCAUCGAUGUUCCCGAUCAGGUAGGUGACAGGUCUGAGCAACGGUCUGGCGUAUUUGGGCUUCUAACUCUUCUUACCUUUUCUUUUGCUUAUCUUUUUCUUCCUAUCACUCUUCCAGUGCUAACUGGGAGUGCUAAACCUGCCCUGUGUGGGCUUCUGCCUUCAUCCAUCCCUAGGGAAAGGGCAGGUUUCCCUCCCUGCCCAGAGGGAUGAGCCCCCCCUGGGCUCCCAGGCAAGUUAUGAUCUGUUUUGCUUUUCAGACGGAGGUCCAGGUCCUCAAGGAUGAGGAAGAGGAUGCUCUGGGU
This 779-nucleotide long non-coding RNA is filed under the name Calidris pygmaea (Spoon-billed sandpiper). RNAcentral's name for it is "lncRNA (ENSCPGG00000008400.1)". The record is from RNAcentral. Lineage: Eukaryota; Metazoa; Chordata; Aves; Charadriiformes; Scolopacidae.